This 1568-nucleotide long non-coding RNA is filed under the name Chrysemys picta bellii (western painted turtle). RNAcentral's name for it is "lncRNA (ENSCPBG00000018538.1)". The record is from RNAcentral. Lineage: Eukaryota; Metazoa; Chordata; Testudines; Emydidae.
CCUCCCCAGCGCCGCCUCCCUCCGCCGGGCUUCCGGGAGCCCUCGUGAUCCGCUCCGCCGCCACCAGCGCAGCGCAGCCCGCAGCGAGCCCCGCUCGGCCGGUGACUGACCCGCGGGGCGGGGAGCUGGGCACACGCCGGGGGUCGCUGGCGGGGCCCGGAGCUGGGAGCGCCCCGUGCGCCCAGGGCGAGCGCCGGUUCGCCCGCCCCGCUGCACUGCGGGGGCAGGAUCGGGGCUGCCUGGCCUUCCCCAGUCACCCCCGUUCCAGGUCUCGGGGGGCUGCUUCUAGCAGGGUUCCCCGGUCCCUGGCUGGGGGGUUCCCCGGUCCUGCCAAGCCUGGUUAAUUGAUGGGGCCUGGGGGCUCCGGUUCGGGCGUGGCGUGGAGCUGUGCCACCUCUGGUGCCAUGGCUCUGGGGUUGUUAUCGCAGCCCUGACCUGGGACGCGCCCCAGCCUGGCACAUGCCACACGGAUCGUGGCCAGGAAUUCACUCUGUUGCUGUGUGCGGGGCUGGGGGCCGGCCCCACGGGUAAACGACAUGUUUGAGGCUGGAGAGCUCCGGGCGCGGCCUGUGGGAAGCCCCAGACGGUGGCCGGUGGCUGCAGGAUUUAUGGGGAUCCCUCCGAGUGGGGAGCUUGGUCUCGGGGCGCUCAGCCUCGCUGGAACCAGCUGCGAGUCCAGCCCCCGCCCCAGCUGUGCCAGGGCCCCUGGGCUGGGGCUGUCGGGUGCUAUCCAUGGAUGUGUUCUCUCCUCAGCCCGUGCUCUGUGCUAGAUCCUGCGCGCCAUGUGCUGGCUUCGUGCUGUGGCCCUGCUGCUCUGGGCAGGGCUGGGCCUGGCCCAAGAUUACCCAUUCCGGGACCCCACCCUGCCCUGGGAGCAGCGGCUGGACGACCUCAUCGGGCGGCUCACCCUGGGGGAGCUGGUGCUGCAGCCCCGAGCUCAUCCACCGCGUGGCCAAUGCCACUGCCACGGAAGUGAGAGCCAAGCACAACUACUUCAUGUCCACGGGCAUCUACGGCGACCACACAGGCCUCAGCUGCUUCAGCCCGGUGCUGAACAUCAUGAGACACCCGUUGUGGGGCAGGAACCAGGAGACGUACGGCGAAGACCCGUUCCUGAGCGCAGAGCUGGCCGUGGCGUUCGUGCAGGGGCUGCAGGGCGACCACCCCCGUUACGUCAAGGCCAGUGCCGGCUGCAAACACUUCAGCGUGCACGGGGGGCCCGAGAAUGUGCCCGUCUCCAGGCUCAGCUUUGAUGCCAAGGUGCAAGAGCGGGACUGGAGAAUGACCUUCCUGCCCCAGUUCCAGGCCUGUGUGCGCGCUGGCUCCUACAGCGUCAUGUGCAGCUACAACAGGAUCAACGGCGUGCCCGCCUGCGCCAACAAGAAGCUGCUGACAGACAUCCUGCGGGCAGAGUGGGGCUUCCAGGGCUACGUGGUGAGCGACGAGGGCGCCGUGGAGUUGAUCAUGCUGGCCCAUCGCUACACACACAGCUUCCUGGAGACGGCCAUCGGUGAGCCUGGACGCACACAGCCCACGGCCCAGGAGCCUGGCCCCGCUUGGCCGAGAGC